This 557-nucleotide ribosomal RNA is filed under the name uncultured bacterium. Its description in RNAcentral is "partial 16S ribosomal RNA". It matches the Rfam family "Bacterial small subunit ribosomal RNA", at positions 355 to 928 of the family's 1533-position model. The record is from RNAcentral.
UGGGGAAUCUUGCGCAAUGGGCGAAAGCCUGACGCAGCCAUGCCGCGUGAGUGAUGAAGGCCUUAGGGUUGUAAAACUCUUUCACCGGGGACGAUAAUGACGGUACCCGGAGAAGAAGCCCCGGCUAACUUCGUGCCAGCAGCCGCGGUAAUACGAAGGGGGCUAGCGUUGCUCGGAAUUACUGGGCGUAAAGGGCGCGUAGGCGGAUCAGCAAGUUGGGGGUGAAAGCCCGGGGCUCAACCUCGGAAUUGCCUUCAAAACUGCUGAUCUAGAGUACGGGAGAGGUGUGUGGAACUCCGAGUGUAGAGGUGAAAUUCGUAGAUAUUCGGAAGAACACCAGUGGCGAAGGCGACACACUGGCCCGUUACUGACGCUGAGGCGCGAAAGCGUGGGGAGCAAACAGGAUUAGAUACCCUGGUAGUCCACGCUGUAAACGAUGAUUGCUAGUUGUCGGCAGGCAUGCCUGUCGGUGACGCAGCUAACGCAUUAAGCAAUCCGCCUGGGGGAGUACGGUCGCAAGAUUAAAAACUCAAAUGAAUUGACGGGGGUCAUAGCUG